Long non-coding RNA from Bactrocera neohumeralis, 684 nucleotides. RefSeq lists it as uncharacterized. Lineage: Eukaryota; Metazoa; Arthropoda; Insecta; Diptera; Tephritidae. The transcript has 2 exons. The record is from RefSeq and is a predicted model, not a curated record.
ACGAUUUAUUUAUUAACCUAUCGCUUAAAUACCAAAUCUAAAUUAGUUAAUAAGUUGUAAAACAUUAGUUUUAUGCGAAUACCAGCUCGAAGUUGAUGGAUUGUUAUUGCGCUUUGAGUAAAAGUCUGGCAAGACGAGUCAAACGACUCUAGCUAUGCGUUCAUUAUCCUCCCCCAACCCGACUGCCUGGCAUUGUUUUUUUCCAGAAUUUCAAUAUGACUCUAUUCUAUAAAAGCGACGGCUUAUGAAAUGGAAAUCAUUGCAAUUGCAAUACUUUCAACAUGAAGUUCACUCUUUUUUUCGGCUUUGUACUGGCUUUGAUCGCGCUGGCUUUCGCCAAUCCGAAUCCCAUGCCUAAUUCCAAUUCUAUUGCCGAUUGCGGCGAUGCCGGUCUGGAGCUCGAACAUGGAUGCGGUGGCGGUGGCAAGUAAACUGCUAACUGUAUGCAAUGUAUACUCGUCGACGUCUUGAACAUUUCUAGUUUAUGUUUUAAUAAAAAAAAACAACCCCCUCAAGCAAAAUAAAUUUUUUUUUAAUAUAAUUUGAAAGGAGUUUAUAGUAAUCCUCUGAGAGUUAUAUUGUUCCUUUCUUUCAGAACUAAAUAUCGUUGCCAUGAUUCACCACAUUACAUUUUCGGCAUCAUUUGAAGGAAUAAUAACAAAAUUUGGGAUUUUUGCUCUCUAA